AUGUCCAACGUUAGCACUUUGGUGGGAUGCGCGCGGUCGACCGACCCGGCUGUGCGGCUGGUCUCUGCGUCCUGGGCGGGAGGCUCACCUGGAGGAACCGCGUCCCCCGGGGCCCCCAGAGAGCCCGCUUCGGCACCCACGCCGGGGGCUCCGUCGGGGGCCUCUCCUACUCCUCCCACGAGGUGCUCCUCUGGCGGCGACCCCGACACACCUCUCGCUGUCUCUGGUUGGAGGCCAGCGCCAGGCAACGCUUCCUCCCCCGGACUGCGGGCGGGCGUCUCUGCGCUCUCCUGCCUGGAGCGAUUCCCUGGUGAGGAAUGCAGCAGCUCUUUGGCAGCGGUGGUGGCAUCUGGGAAAGUCUCUCCCUCUGCCUGUAGAGGUUCUAAUUGGGCUGAAUCAUUGCUGUGGCACUGCUGCACAACCCCUACAUUGAUGCUGGAGCAAGGUGACUGUUCGGCGUCGCAGGGGGUUGCCUGAACACAGCUCUCAACGGGCUGGCCCUCAGCCUCCUGCCUGGGGCCCGCCUCGCCAGCGUCGGUUGCCUUUAG
Molecule: long non-coding RNA, 548 nt
Filed under: Mus musculus (house mouse)
Lineage: Eukaryota; Metazoa; Chordata; Mammalia; Rodentia; Muridae
Description: long non-coding RNA chr10:44004153-44004701
Source: RNAcentral